Cannabis sativa is the source of this 2095-nucleotide long non-coding RNA. RefSeq lists it as uncharacterized. The record is from RefSeq and is a predicted model, not a curated record. The transcript has 2 exons. NCBI's taxonomy places the organism in Eukaryota, Viridiplantae, Streptophyta, Magnoliopsida, Rosales, Cannabaceae.
ACAAUUUUACUUUUUCACUCAUUCUGUUAAAGCUAUAUCGUGACAUCAACAACUAAGGGAAUAACUUCAAAGCAGCUUCUUAUUGGUACUAUUGCAGAUCAGGUUAGCUGUUGUUCCCUUUAACAGAUUCUUUGCCUAUCAUUCCCCAGGUACAUAUUGUCUUUUUUCCAUUAUACUCUAUUUUCAGUGUGAUUUUUCUUCAAGCUUGAUGCAUUAAUAUAUCUGCCUAGGAUAUAUGCUUAAACACACACACGUAGUACACAUACAACACACACAAAAUCCACUAUCAUUUUAUUGGAAAAAUAUGUCCACUACUAUUGUUUUUUGUUUUAUUAAUCUUCUUUUUAGUAUGAAAUUUCUUGAAAAGUAUUCAUAAGAUUGCUCUGAUUUAAAUAUAUUUAUGAUGACAGUUGUCCCCAACAACAUCACAUUUUGAGGCUUGUCAAUUUGUAGUAGAGGACCAUAAAGCACAGUUAGUACUUAUAGAUUGUUCAAUGACUUGAAGGUUUAGCCUCCAAUACACUUGACUCAGAUAGCAAUUUAUGUUAUUUUUUUUGCAAAUUUAAUUGUCUAAUAUGCUGAAAUUUGUUAGAUCCUUGGUAUAAAACUAUUCUUCGAAGAAAUUGCUUGAACGCUAGCUUGGAAUUGGUAAGCUACUCAAACUUUAUUAUUUUAUAUUUUAUAAAUCCUAGAAGAGUUUGAAUAUCCUAGAUAUUCAUCCAUAGUGAAGUAAGUUCUGGAAUUGCAUGACUGCGGUCGGAUGGGUGGUAAUAUUUGUACUGUUAAUUAUAGUUUUGUUUGUUUGUAUUAUUGUGGAUGUUCUAAUACAUUAGUUGCAUGUUUAAAAUUUUUGGGAACGUCCGAAUUAUAGAUGUUAUGCUGCCGAAAUUUCGGUAGAAAUUUCAGUAGGAUUAGUAUUUUAUUGAAUUAAUUAGGUUAAGUUGAAAUAGAAUUAUUUUAUUGUAUUAAUUAGGUUAAUUAAAUUGUUGUUUUGUUGUUUUAUUAGAAGUUUCGAAAUGGAUAGAGAUUGGAUGAGUGCGAAUAGGUUAACGGUAAAAUAUAGGGAAGGUGUUGAUUUCUUUUUGGAGUUUUCUGCAAAGAAUGCGGAUAAUCCUGAUUUGGUUCAUUGCCCAUGUCUCAAAUGUGGUAACAUGGAGCGUAUGAAAAUUGCCCAAAUAAGAGAACAUUUGUUUAAGAACGGUAUAGACAGGAGUUAUAAGGUUUCGUAUCACUACGGAGAAAAAAUUAGAAGAUCGGGCGAGGGACCCUCUAGAAAGGAUAAGAUUGUUAAUAAUGUGGAGUAUGAAGAUGAUCACAUCGCAGAGAUGAUUAACGAAGCAGAGUCUGAAUCUCAAGUUCGUCCUGAAACAUUUCAAACUAUGUUAGAAGAUGUUGAAAAGCCGAUUUACCCUAAUUGUAGUAGGUUUACUAAAUUAUCGACGCUUAUUAGGCUAUACAAUUUGAAAGCAAAACACGGGUGGAGUGAUAAGAGUUUGACAGAGUUACUAGCUUUCUUAGGAGAAUUAUUACCCGAAGGUAAUGAGGUGCCUUUGUCUUUCUAUGAGACAAAAAAGACAUUGUGUUCGUUAGACAUUGUCUUUCUAUACAAAUCAAUUCAUUAAUUAAUUUCUUUUUUGUUUAGUGCUGUGGACAUGUACAGGAUCGAAAAAAAUAUACGAAACAAGGGUCCAGUAAAAAUCAACCAAUACACGUGUCGACAGCAGCCGGAUGGAGUACAAUGUGGUUAUUAUGUUAUGAAGAUUAUCCAGAGUUUCAUGACGGUUGUUAAUCCUGCAAGUUUUUUGAAAAAUCAUUUCAAGUUAGAUGCUCCCUAUAGUAACGAGGAGAUCAAUGCCGUACGGGAUGAGUUGGCCGAAUUUGUGAAGCCUUUGAUUAUAGAUUAAGUACUUAAGGUUACUACACUUUUAAUAUAAUACAUGAGUAACAAGUUUUAUGAUUAUUGUUAUCUUUUGCAUAUAUUAUUAGUUUAUAUUUAGUUUACGAUAUACAUGGAAUUUAAGUUUUAGAAUCGAUUUUAUUAACAAUUUUGGUAUUGUGUGAUUAGUUAAUAGAAUCGAUUACUAAUUUAAUAUAA